This 295-nucleotide unclassified non-coding RNA is filed under the name Hevea brasiliensis (rubber tree). The record is from RNAcentral. Lineage: Eukaryota; Viridiplantae; Streptophyta; Magnoliopsida; Malpighiales; Euphorbiaceae.
UCUUCUUCUUCUUCUUCUUCUUCAAGUGCGUUUGUUUCUUUCCUCCUCCAAGGAAGGUCUCUCUGGUUGUGGUCGUACCAGUCCAACAAUGAUUCCCUGAUCUUCUGGGUUUCUUUGUCGCUGAAAAUGUCUUCAAUGUCAGGAAUUCCUUCCUCAUUUUCGUUGAUAAAUUUCCUCUUCUUCCUCGGCUGAGCCUUUCUCUUCUUCUUGGGUUUUUUCAUGUCCUCCAUUGCUGCAAUUGGAGCAGAGUAGGAGCCUUGGGUCCCUCGUAGAAAUGCUUUUAUGAAGCUAAUGC